RNAcentral lists this long non-coding RNA (694 nucleotides) under Androctonus crassicauda. The record is from RNAcentral. Lineage: Eukaryota; Metazoa; Arthropoda; Arachnida; Scorpiones; Buthidae.
UGUAUAUAAAAUAAAAUUUUGUAGGAAAUUUAUAUUUACAGUUAAAGUAAGAUAUUUAUCUCAAGUAUCCAAAAAACUCCUACAACCAUUUUAUUGACUUCCUUAUAAAUACAUAAUUUUCACACUACUGGUGAAGGUGUCUGCUCUGUCAGAAUGAUAGUGAUAUGAAGCAUGCCUUUUAGUAGUAGAUCAUGACACCAUGAGGUCAGGAACAAAAAGGAUGUUUAUUCUUAGAAACUUUGGUGCUAGUGUAGUUGUGCCUGCAGAAUACAACUGUACACGAUUUAAUUCAAUAGAUUAUUAUUAUAUAUUUGAUGACAUCGAAAAAUUACAAAAAUAUUUAAAAAGGGUUAUACACUCAUUUAGUUCCUAUCUUCUUGUUGAAUUCAAUCUUUCCUUUUUUGACCAAUCAAUCUCCAUGACACAUGCUAAAUGUGGCAGAAGUAAUGUGCUCCAACCUAUUCCUCCUAUGUUUUCUGUAUAAUCUAAUAAUAGAUAUGUUUGACCAGUUAUUGCUUUUUCUUAAUCAUAAGUAAUAUUACCAAAAAUACAAGCACCUUUAGCAGUUAAUCUAUGUAGGAAUAACUGAUGCUUUUGGCUGUCCGCCGUCUUCGGGUUGCGGGGGGAAUAGAAGAAUAUAAAUUUGAAAAUAAAAAUUGGGAUAGAGCGAUGUUGGUUGCUAUGGAUACAAGCC